CCUACGGGUGGCAGCAGUGGGGAAUAUUGCACAAUGGGGGAAACCCUGAUGCAGCGACGCCGCGUGAGGGAAGAAGGAAUUCGGUAUGUAAAGCUCUAUCAGCAGGGAAGAAAAUGACGGUACCUGAGUAAGAAGCCCCGGCUAACUACGUGACAGCAGCCGCGGUAAUACGUAGGGGGCAAGCGGUAUCCGGAUUUACUGGGUGUAAAGGGAGCGUAGACGGGAGUGCAAGUCUGGAGUGAAAGACGCGGGCUUAACCCCCGGACUGCUGUGGAAACUGUACGGCUGGAGUGCAGGAGAGGUAAGUGGAAUGCGUGGUGUAGCGGUGAAAUGCGUAGAUAUUAGGAGGAACACCAGUGGCGAAGGCGGCUUACUGGACUGUAACUGACGUUGAGGCUCGAAAGCGUGGGGAGCAAACAGGAUUAGAUACCCCUGUAGUC
This 440-nucleotide ribosomal RNA is filed under the name uncultured bacterium. Its description in RNAcentral is "partial 16S ribosomal RNA". It matches the Rfam family "Bacterial small subunit ribosomal RNA", at positions 338 to 795 of the family's 1533-position model. The record is from RNAcentral.